CUCCUCCUGGGCUGUUCGUCAGUAGCGACCGUCCUCGAGCCGAUAAUACUUUACUUGGGACUCCUCAAUGGAAGUGUUGCGCAAGUCCGUUUCGACCGGAAAGCCUGAUCUUCUACAUGGACUCCCCCCUGAACCUUUGGGUUCAUGGGCUAUUACCUACAACGGCAGUCCGGGGUUUUA
Kangiella koreensis DSM 16069 is the source of this 180-nucleotide non-coding RNA. It matches the Rfam family "6S / SsrS RNA". Rfam says of the family: E. coli 6S RNA was the first non coding RNA to be sequenced, but its function was unknown until recently. It consists of 184 nucleotides that fold into an extended hairpin structure with a large single-stranded internal bulge. The 6S RNA specifically associates with RNA polymerase holoenzyme containing the sigma70 specificity factor. NCBI's taxonomy places the organism in Bacteria, Pseudomonadati, Pseudomonadota, Gammaproteobacteria, Kangiellales, Kangiellaceae. The record is from Rfam.